This 1072-nucleotide ribosomal RNA is filed under the name Clostridioides difficile. RNAcentral describes it as "partial 23S ribosomal RNA". It matches the Rfam family "Bacterial large subunit ribosomal RNA", at positions 361 to 1444 of the family's 2925-position model. The record is from RNAcentral. Lineage: Bacteria; Bacillati; Bacillota; Clostridia; Peptostreptococcales; Peptostreptococcaceae.
AAGGUAAUAGUCCUGUAUGUUAAACGAGAAGACUUUAGAUAUGAUCCAGAGUACCACGGGACACGUGAAACCCUGUGGGAAGCAGGAGGGACCACCCUCCAAGGCUAAAUACUACCUAGUGACCGAUAGCGUAUAGUACCGUGAGGGAAAGGUGAAAAGAACCCCGGGAGGGGAGUGAAAUAGAACCUGAAACCCUGCACUUACAAGCUGUGGAAGCACAUUUCUUGUGUGACCGCGUACUUUUUGUAGAACGGGCCAACGAGUUACGUUAAGUAGCAAGGUUAAGCACUUAAGGUGCGGAGCCGUAGCGAAAGCGAGUUUUAACUGAGCGUUCAGUUACUUGACGUAGACCCGAAACCGGGCGACCUACCCAUGAGCAGGAUGAAGCGAAAGUAAAAUUUCGUGGAGGUCCGAACCCACGAGCGUUGAAAAGCUCGGGGAUGACUUGUGGGUAGCGGUGAAAUUCCAAUCGAGCCCGGAGAUAGCUGGUUCUCCCCGAAAUAGCUUUAGGGCUAGCCUCAAGGUGAGAGAUACGGAGGUAGAGCACUGAAUGUCCUAGGGGGUAUUGCACCUACCGAAGACUAUCAAACUCCGAAUGCCGUCAUCUUAUACUUGGGAGUCAGACUGUGGGUGAUAAGAUUCAUAGUCGAAAGGGCAACAGCCCAGAUCGUCAGCUAAGGUCCCUAAAUGUAAGUUAAGUGGUAAAGGAUGUGGGAUUGCACAGACAACCAGGAUGUUGGCUUAGAAGCAGCCACUCAUUCAAAGAGUGCGUAAUAGCUCACUGGUCGAGUGAUCCUGCGCCGAAGAUUUCCGGGGCUAAAACUUACUACCGAAGCUACGGCAUCAGUAAUGAUGGGUAGGGGAGCUUCCCAUACGGGUUGAAGCAUGACCGUAAGGACAUGUGGACAGUAUGGGAGUGAGAAUGUUGGCAUGAGUAGCGAGAUGUGGGUGAGAAUCCCACAGGCCGUAAACCCAAGGUUUCCAGGGGAAGGUUCGUCCGCCCUGGGUUAGUCGGGACCUAAGCUGAGGCCGAAAGGCGUAGGUGAUGGACAACAGGUUGAUAUUCCUGUAC